This 303-nucleotide unclassified non-coding RNA is filed under the name uncultured fungus. Its description in RNAcentral is "partial contains small subunit ribosomal RNA, internal transcribed spacer 1, and 5.8S ribosomal RNA". The stretch from base 1 to 73 matches the Rfam family "Eukaryotic small subunit ribosomal RNA", at positions 1759 to 1831 of the family's 1831-position model. The record is from RNAcentral. Lineage: Eukaryota; Fungi.
GCAAACUUGGUCAUUUAGAGGAAGUAAAAGUCGUAACAAGGUCUCCGUUGGUGAACCAGCGGAGGGAUCAUUAAAGAGUUACCUAACUCCUAAACCCAUGUGAACUUACCUCUGUUGCCUCGGCAGGUCGCAGCCUACCCCGUGAGACCCUACCCUGUAGGCGAUUACCCGGUGCGGCUACGGACAAGCCUGCCGGCGGCCCAUUAAACUCUGUUUACUUAUUGCACUCUGAAACUAUAACUAAAUAAGUUAAAAACUUUCAACAACGGAUCUCUUGGUUCUGGCAUCAAUGAAGAACGCAGC